GCAAGUCGACGGCAGCACGGGUGCUUGCACCUGGUGGCGAGUGGCGAACGGGCGAGUAAUACAUCGGAACAUGUCCUGUAGUGGGGGAUAGCCCGGCGAAAGCCGGAUUAAUACCGCAUACGAUCUACGGAUGAAAGCGGGGGACCUUCGGGCCUCGCGCUAUAGGGUUGGCCGAUGGCUGAUUAGCUAGUUGGUGGGGUAAAGGCCUACCAAGGCGACGAUCAGUAGCUGGUCUGAGAGGACGACCAGCCACACUGGGACUGAGACACGGCCCAGACUCCUACGGGAGGCAGCAGUGGGGAAUUUUGGACAAUGGGCGAAAGCCUGAUCCAGCAAUGCCGCGUGUGUGAAGAAGGCCUUCGGGUUGUAAAGCACUUUUGUCCGGAAAGAAAUCCUUGGCUCUAAUACAGUCGGGGGAUGACGGUACCGGAAGAAUAAGCACCGGCUAACUACGUGCCAGCAGCCGCGGUAAUACGUAGGGUGCGAGCGUUAAUCGGAAUUACUGGGCGUAAAGCGUGCGCAGGCGGUUUGCUAAGACCGAUGUGAAAUCCCCGGGCUCAACCUGGGAACUGCAUUGGUGACUGGCAGGCUAGAGUAUGGCAGAGGGGGGUAGAAUUCCACGUGUAGCAGUGAAAUGCGUAGAGAUGUGGAGGAAUACCGAUGGCGAAGGCAGCCCCCUGGGCCAAUACUGACGCUCAUGCACGAAAGCGUGGGGAGCAAACAGGAUUAGAUACCCUGGUAGUCCACGCCCUAAACGAUGUCAACUAGUUGUUGGGGAUUCAUUUCCUUAGUAACGUAGCUAACGCGUGAAGUUGACCGCCUGGGGAGUACGGUCGCAAGAUUAAAACUCAAAGGAAUUGACGGGGACCCGCACAAGCGGUGGAUGAUGUGGAUUAAUUCGAUGCAACGCGAAAAACCUUACCUACCCUUGACAUGGUCGGAAUCCCGCUGAGAGGUGGGAGUGCUCGAAAGAGAACCGGCGCACAGGUGCUGCAUGGCUGUCGUCAGCUC
This 1011-nucleotide ribosomal RNA is filed under the name Burkholderia contaminans. RNAcentral's name for it is "bacterial SSU rRNA". It matches the Rfam family "Bacterial small subunit ribosomal RNA", at positions 57 to 1061 of the family's 1533-position model. The record is from RNAcentral. Lineage: Bacteria; Pseudomonadati; Pseudomonadota; Betaproteobacteria; Burkholderiales; Burkholderiaceae.